RNAcentral lists this ribosomal RNA (1392 nucleotides) under metagenome. RNAcentral's name for it is "bacterial LSU rRNA". It matches the Rfam family "Bacterial large subunit ribosomal RNA", at positions 1548 to 2925 of the family's 2925-position model. The record is from RNAcentral.
GCGCAUAUCUGAGACGCAGGACCUUUUGAGGGCUUCGGCCCAAAGAAGAGUAAUUCCGGUCUGUGCCAGGAAAAACCUCUAAGGGAGUUUUUUUGUGCCCGUACCGUAAACCGACACAGGUAGACGAGGCGAAUAGCCUAAGGUGCUCGAGACAACUCGGGAGAAGGAACUCGGCAAAUUAACCCCGUAACUUCGGGAUAAGGGGAGCCUCCAUUUGUUAGUGUGAACAGCACAAAGCAUAAGGAGGCCGCAGAGAAAUGGCAGAAGCGACUGUUUACCAAAAACACAGGGCUAUGCAAACCCGUAAGGGAAAGUAUAUAGUCUGACACGUGCCCGGUGCUGGAAGGUUAACAGGAGAUGUCAGCGCAAGCGAAGCAUUGAAUCGAAGCCCCAGUAAACGGCGGCCGUAACAAUAACGGUCCUAAGGUAGCGAAAUUCCUUGUCGGGUAAGUUCCGACCUGCACGAAUCGUGUAACGACUUCUGCACUGUCUCCUCCCGGGACUCGGCGAAUUUGCAGUGUCGGUGAAGAUGCCGACAACCCGCACCGGGACGGAAAGACCCCAUGAACCUUCACUGUAUUUUGACAUUGGUUUUAGGCUUGACAUGUGUAGGAUAGGUGGGAGGCUUUGAAGCGGUGACGCCAGUCAUCGUGGAGCCAUCCUUGAAAUACCACCCUUGUCCGGUUUGAGAUCUAACCGUGGCCCGUCAUCCGGGUCCGGGACCGUGUCUGAUGGUCAGUUUGACUGGGGCGGUCGCCUCCUAAAUGGUAACGGAGGCAUCCAAUGGUUCCCUCAGCGCGGUCGGUAAUCGCGCGUAGAGCAUAAAGGCAUAAGGGAGCUUGACUGCGAGACAGACAUGUCGAGCAGGUACGAAAGUAGGGCUUAGUGAUCCCGCGGUACAGCGUGGAACGGCCGUUGCUCAAUGGAUAAAAGGUACUCUGGGGAUAACAGGCUGAUCUCCCCCAAGCGUUCAUAGCGACGGGGAGGUUUGGCACCUCGAUGUCGGCUCGUCGCAUCCUGGGGCUGGAGAAGGUCCCAAGGGUUUGGCUGUUCGCCAAUUAGAGCGGCACGCGAGCUGGGUUCAGAACGUCGUGAGACAGUUCGGUCCCUAUCCGGUGUGGGCGCACGAAAUUUGAGGGAACCUGUCCUUAGUACGAGAGGACCGGGACGGACGCACCUCUGGUGUACCGGCUGUCACGCCAGUGGCAUUGCCGGGUAGCUAUGUGCGGAUUGGAGAAACGCUGAAAGCAUCUAAGCGUGAAGCCAUUCCCAAGAUUAGAUUUCGCGGGGGCAACCCCCUAAAGGAUCGUUAGAGACCAUAACGUUGAUAGGUCACAGGUGUAAGCAUAGCGAUAUGUUGAGCCGAGUGAUACUAAUAGUCCGUGAGGCUUU